UCGUAACAAGGUUUCCGUAGGUGAAACUGCGGAAGGAUCAUUG
RNAcentral lists this ribosomal RNA (43 nucleotides) under Trebouxia gelatinosa. RNAcentral's name for it is "18S ribosomal RNA". The record is from RNAcentral. Lineage: Eukaryota; Viridiplantae; Chlorophyta; Trebouxiophyceae; Trebouxiales; Trebouxiaceae.